RNAcentral lists this ribosomal RNA (254 nucleotides) under uncultured bacterium. RNAcentral's name for it is "partial 16S ribosomal RNA". It matches the Rfam family "Bacterial small subunit ribosomal RNA", at positions 524 to 776 of the family's 1533-position model. The record is from RNAcentral.
UACGUAGGGCGCAAGCGUUGUCCGGAUUUAUUGGGCGUAAAGAGCUCGUAGGCGGUGUGUCGCGUCGGCCGUGAAAACCUGCAGCUUAACUGUGGGCUUGCGGUCGAUACGGGCAUCACUGGAGUUCGGCAGGGGAGACUGGAAUUCCUGGUGUAGCGGUGAAAUGCGCAGAUAUCAGGAGGAACACCGGUGGCGAAGGCGGGUCUCUGGGCCGAUACUGACGCUGAGACGCGAAAGCGUGGGGAGCAAACAGG